This 76-nucleotide transfer RNA is filed under the name SAR116 cluster bacterium. RNAcentral describes it as "tRNA-Ala". It matches the Rfam family "tRNA". Rfam says of the family: Transfer RNA (tRNA) molecules are approximately 80 nucleotides in length. The record is from RNAcentral. Lineage: Bacteria; Pseudomonadati; Pseudomonadota; Alphaproteobacteria; Puniceispirillales (SeqCode).
GGGGCUGUAGCUCAGUUGGGAGAGCGCUUCAAUGGCAUUGAAGAGGUCGUCGGUUCAAGCCCGAUCAGCUCCACCA